GAUGAACGCUAGCUACAGGCUUAACACAUGCAAGUCGAGGGGCAGCAUGAAGGAAGCUUGCUUCCUUUGAUGGCGACCGGCGCACGGGUGAGUAACGCGUGAGCAACAUGCCCGAUACUGGAGGAUAGUCGAUGGAAACGUCGUGUAAUACUCCGUAACAACAGAGACCGCAUGAUCUUUGUUUAAUAGAUUUAUCGGUAUCGGAUUGGCUCGCGUCCCAUUAGGCAGUUGGCGGGGUAACGGCCCACCAAACCGACGAUGGGUAGGGGUUCUGAGAGGAAGGUCCCCCACAUUGGAACUGAGACACGGUCCAGACUCC
Molecule: ribosomal RNA, 319 nt
Filed under: uncultured Bacteroidales bacterium
Lineage: Bacteria; Pseudomonadati; Bacteroidota; Bacteroidia; Bacteroidales
Description: bacterial SSU rRNA
Rfam family: Bacterial small subunit ribosomal RNA
Source: RNAcentral